Molecule: ribosomal RNA, 198 nt
Filed under: uncultured bacterium
Lineage: Bacteria
Description: partial 16S ribosomal RNA
Rfam family: Bacterial small subunit ribosomal RNA
Source: RNAcentral
ACGCUCGACACCUACGGGGGGCAGCAGUGGGGAAUAUUGCACAAUGGGGGAAACCCUGAUGCAGCGACGCCGCGUGAGCGAAGAAGUAUCUCGGUAUGUAAAGCUCUAUCAGCGGGGAAGAAGAUGACGGUACCUGACUAAGAAGCACCGGCUAAAUACGUGCCAGCAGCUGCGGUAAUCUGAGCGGGCUGGCAAGGC